UACGUAGGGUGCGAGCGUUAAUCGGAAUUACUGGGCGUAAAGCGUGCGCAGGCGGUUUGUUAAGUCAGGUGUGAAAUCCCCGGGCUUAACCUGGGAAUGGCGCUUGUUACUGGCAGGCUAGAGUGUGUCAGAGGGAGGUAGAAUUCCACGUGUAGCAGUGAAAUGCGUAGAGAUGUGGAGGAAUACCGAUGGCGAAGGCAGCCUCCUGGGAUAACACUGACGCUCAUGCACGAAAGCGUGGGGAGCAAACAGG
This 253-nucleotide ribosomal RNA is filed under the name uncultured bacterium. RNAcentral's name for it is "partial 16S ribosomal RNA". It matches the Rfam family "Bacterial small subunit ribosomal RNA", at positions 524 to 776 of the family's 1533-position model. The record is from RNAcentral.